RNAcentral lists this transfer RNA (67 nucleotides) under Marmota monax (woodchuck). RNAcentral's name for it is "tRNA.Thr". The record is from RNAcentral. Lineage: Eukaryota; Metazoa; Chordata; Mammalia; Rodentia; Sciuridae.
GGAUUGUGGCUCAGUGGUAGAGCGCUCGCCUAGUAAGGGUGAGACCGGGGUUCGAUCCUCAGCACCA